UACGUAGGGCGCAAGCGUUGUCCGGAGUUAUUGGGCGUAAAGAGCUCGUAGGUGGCUUGUCGCGUCUGCCGUGAAAGCCCAUGGCUUAACUGUGGGUCUGCGGUGGAUACGGGCAGGCUGGAGGCUGGUAGGGGCAAGCGGAAUUCCUGGUGUAGCGGUGAAAUGCGCAGAUAUCAGGAGGAACACCGGUGGCGAAGGCGGCUUGCUGGGCCAGUUCUGACGCUGAGGAGCGAAAGCGUGGGGAGCGAACAGG
This 253-nucleotide ribosomal RNA is filed under the name uncultured bacterium. Its description in RNAcentral is "partial 16S ribosomal RNA". It matches the Rfam family "Bacterial small subunit ribosomal RNA", at positions 524 to 776 of the family's 1533-position model. The record is from RNAcentral.